Molecule: ribosomal RNA, 555 nt
Filed under: Marginellona gigas
Lineage: Eukaryota; Metazoa; Mollusca; Gastropoda; Neogastropoda; Marginellonidae
Description: partial 12S ribosomal RNA
Source: RNAcentral
UAAACCAGCAGAUUGAAUUAUAUGUAGAAGGUUAAAAGGCAAUUAAACUUAUGUAAUUUAAGUUAUUAAAUUAGCCUAUAUAGAAGUGAAAUUCGAGUAAGGGAUGAAAUACUAUAAAAUAACUUGGCAAGUUGAAUUUGCGAAAAUCAGAAGGGAAACUGGGAUUAGAUACCCCAUUAUUUCUGAUCUUAAAUUGACUAGAUCUACCAGAAUACUAUGAAUUAUAAAUAAAUAUUUAAAAUUCAAAGAGCUUGGCGGUGUAUUAGAUUACUCAGGGGAACAUGUCUUAUAACUGAUAACCCACAUUAAACCUAACCUUCAUUUGCAUAACAGUUUGUAUAUCGUCGUCUAGGUAGCUUAUAAAAAUUUAGAAGUUAGCAAUAUAAGAAAUUACAGUAAGAUAGGAUGUCAGAUCAAGAUGCAGCUAAUAUUAAGGUAAUGAUGUGUUACAAUUAUAGGAUUAUAACACGAACAAGUAAAGUAAUUUUUACCUUGAAGGAGAACUUGAAAGUAAAAUGAACUAUACAAAUAUUUUGAAUUUAACUCUAAAUGUGC